Molecule: ribosomal RNA, 206 nt
Filed under: uncultured Bacillota bacterium
Lineage: Bacteria; Bacillati; Bacillota
Description: uncultured Firmicutes bacterium partial 16S ribosomal RNA
Rfam family: Bacterial small subunit ribosomal RNA
Source: RNAcentral
UGCGUAGGCGGCGCUGCAAGUCAGAUGUGAAAUCCCCGGGCUUAACUCGGGGGUGCAUUUGAAACUGCAGUGCUUGAGUGCAGGAGAGGAAAGCGGAAUUUCUAGUGUAGCGGUGAAAUGCGUAGAUAUUAGGAAGAACACCAGUGGCGAAGGCGGCUUUCUGGACUGUAACUGACGCUGAUGCACGAAAGCGUGGGGAGCAAACA